AAGCGUUUUACAUGUCUGCUCUAUGGGGACAAGGAAAGACUAUCUAUAGAGAUACUGUGGGGUAGAAAUGGGGCUAGUAGAAGGAACAGACACGCAAACCUUCAUGCGAACGGCAGCUCAUUUUUUUUGUGCGGUGGCGGGUCGUAGAUUCGUUGGGAGGGGUAGGAGGGUUUAAAGAAGACUAAACUACAUAACCAAAUAAGCAAAGGAUACUUACACAGACUUGAGGACUUUCCUACUAUUUAAACAAAUUGGGACGCCGUUUGAAAAAUCCUCAAAUUCUCAUAUCGAGUACUUACUGGAAAGCAACUGGGGGACAUUCAUCGUAGAUUCCUCAUUGGGGUUAUAGUGGGCUACAAAUUAUCAUCAUUUGGCUUCUAUGCCAUUAUAUUUUCUUCUGUUCUAAAACUUAUUCACUUGUAUUAGAUAUCUGUUAAUAAUUUUCUUAAAUAAAGAGGUUACAGAAAUAAAGAUGUGUACAUUUUAUAAUGUUUAUUUAAACCUUAAUACCUUUUUAUUUUUAUUGAGAAUAGACACAUUCUCAAACCAGAAAUGAAUAAUAAUAACAAAAUACAUGAUUUUACAAUUUUUAACCUUAUUUUUAGCAGUGUACCAAAACAAAAAUUUGACAUGGCUGUCAAAUGUCACUGCCAUCUAAUAUUUACUUUACAUAAUAUAUUUUCCAUGUUGAAAACAAACAUUUUUAAUUAUGUAAAACCUUUACCAAUAAUAUCCACUUGUGAAUUAUUUAAAAUAAACAUUAUCAUACCUUGUUAAAACAAAAAUCCAUGUCACAACACUUGGAACUUCAAAAUUUUCCAUUCAGACGGGGCUGGGAGGGGAAGAUAUUCAAAUCAUUACAAAACUGGAUAAAAUCGAUACCAAAUAAUAUCAUCUGGGCAUUUCUUACUGGAACAUGAACAAAUCAAAA
Molecule: long non-coding RNA, 931 nt
Filed under: Diabrotica virgifera virgifera (western corn rootworm)
Lineage: Eukaryota; Metazoa; Arthropoda; Insecta; Coleoptera; Chrysomelidae
Description: uncharacterized LOC126887003
Source: RNAcentral